GUUCAACUAUUGAGGAAAACGUGAAUAACGACGUAGAGUCGGUUUCCUCCGGGUGAUAGUAAAUCGGAGAUUUUGAAGUAAGGUGGCAGAGGAUUAAUUCUUGGCAUGUAAGAUUGGUGAAGCCCGAGACCUAAGUUAUGGUUAACUUAAGAAACUGACAAGGUACAGAUGACAGAUUUGCUGAACCGCCUGCCUAGGACAUCUAUUCUGCUAUUUUGGGAGUGCUCUUUUGUCCAGAGCCUAUAUGUUGGUACAGUCUGCUGUUAUUGUAUAUAUGUAUGCUAUUCAAGGGUAUGACGGGGCCCUGUCCCGUCUUAUGAUUCUGUUAUGAUCUGUAGAGGUCUGUAGACAUACUUGUGUGGGUUCUGUAUAUGUUUUGGGUUGUUAUGAUCGGUGAUGGCCUUAUCGGCCUCUACGUGCAAAAUCUGUUCAUCUGUGAUAUUUAGUAGCGCCAACUAACCUUUAUAUUAAUAUAUUUUGAUAA
Long non-coding RNA from Lycium barbarum (goji berry), 484 nucleotides. RefSeq lists it as uncharacterized. The transcript has 3 exons. NCBI's taxonomy places the organism in Eukaryota, Viridiplantae, Streptophyta, Magnoliopsida, Solanales, Solanaceae. The record is from RefSeq and is a predicted model, not a curated record.